This 914-nucleotide ribosomal RNA is filed under the name uncultured beta proteobacterium. Its description in RNAcentral is "bacterial SSU rRNA". It matches the Rfam family "Bacterial small subunit ribosomal RNA", at positions 8 to 916 of the family's 1533-position model. Lineage: Bacteria; Pseudomonadati; Pseudomonadota; Betaproteobacteria. The record is from RNAcentral.
AGAGUUUGAUCCUGGCUCAGAUUGAACGCUGGCGGCAUGCCUUACACAUGCAAGUCGAACGGCAGCACGGGAGCAAUCCUGGUGGCGAGUGGCGAACGGGUGAGUAAUAUAUCGGAACGUACCUUUCAGUGGGGGAUAACGUAGCGAAAGUUACGCUAAUACCGCAUAUUCUGUGAGCAGGAAAGCAGGGGAUCGCAAGACCUUGCGCUGAUUGAGCGGCCGAUAUCAGAUUAGCUAGUUGGUGAGGUAAAGGCUCACCAAGGCGACGAUCUGUAGCGGGUCUGAGAGGAUGAUCCGCCACACUGGAACUGAGACACGGUCCGGACUCCUACGGGAGGCAGCAGUGGGGAAUUUUGGACAAUGGGGGCAACCCUGAUCCAGCCAUGCCGCGUGAGUGGAGAAGGCCUUCGGGUUGUAAAGCUCUUUCAGCCGGGAAGAAAACGCAUGGGUUAAUACCCUGUGUGGAUGACGGUACCGGAAUAAGAAGCACCGGCUAACUACGUGCCAGCAGCCGCGGUAAUACGUAGGGUGCGAGCGUUAAUCGGAAUUACUGGGCGUAAAGCGUGCGCAGGCGGUUUUUUAAGCCAGAUGUGAAAUCCCCGGGCUUAACCUGGGAACUGCAUUUGGAACUGGAAGACUAGAGUGUAGCAGAGGGGGGUAGAAUUCCACGUGUAGCAGUGAAAUGCGUAGAUAUGUGGAGGAAUACCGAUGGCGAAGGCAGCCCCCUGGGUUAACACUGACGCUCAUGCACGAAAGCGUGGGGAGCAAACAGGAUUAGAUACCCUGGUAGUCCACGCCCUAAACGAUGUCAACUAGGUGUUGGGGGAGGAGACUUCCUUAGUACCGCAGCUAACGCGUGAAGUUGACCGCCUGGUGUGUACGGUCGCAAGAUUAAAACUCAAAGGAAUUGACGG